Molecule: long non-coding RNA, 2324 nt
Organism: Lolium perenne
Lineage: Eukaryota; Viridiplantae; Streptophyta; Magnoliopsida; Poales; Poaceae
Source: RefSeq, a predicted model, not a curated record
AAACAUAUUGUGAAGGAGGGGAACAAUAGUUAAUUAGGAACAAAUUUUAUAUAUGGUCCAUAUGCUGUUUGUAGUACAUGUCUAGUGGGUUAAAUAUUAGUAGGAGGACUAGUAUUUACCGAGUGUGGAUUUUGUAUACCCAAGCAUGGGUGUGGGUGUACACUUUGCCGUUUAUUGGGUGUUGGAGAUUCGUGCGAAGGCAGGGUCGAUGGAACAUUUUCCUCCAUUUCUCUCAUUUUCCUGUCGCGUCGCUGCAUCCUUUUCUCCUGUCGUGUCGGGUACAGCACCAGAGGCUGCACUGACUCUGUCCAGAAGUGGUAGGGCGCGGUUCUCCACCCCAUACCUCUCUGCCCUGAUUUUCCUCGUGCUGUAGCCGCCCCCGUCCACACCGCGCGGCCGACGCGCAGGUAAAGCACGCACGCCGUUCGCCGUGCGCCAUCGCCGUGCGAGCCGGGCACACUGCGACGCUGACGCGCAGGUAGAGCACGCCGUCGCCGUCGCCGUCGCCAGCGAGUCGGCCACACCGCGCCGCCGACGCGGACGCCGUCGCCGUGCGUCGUCGCCGUUGCCAGCCAUUGCUCCUUGGUGCCCGGGUCGCCAUUGCUCCUCGUCGCCGGCGAGAAUCAAGUUUUCUCUAUCCGCCCCCAACCUUCCCCGCUCGCGGACCGAGCUGCGCCGCCCUUUUUUAGCCGCCGUCGCGGCUGCUGUGCGGUGCAUCCAGUCAGCCUCCCGUCCUCUCCGCCGUGCGGUCGGCGCGGCUGCUCUACGUUGCAGCUACUCCACCACUCGCCCUCUCCGUCGGGCAACCGGCGCUCAGUCUCUCGCUGCCGGGGCAUCCGUUUCCUUUUGUCUCCUCCUCUCUUUUUUUCACUCCCUGAUGUAUGACCUUGGGCUACACUUGCAGGUAAUCUCCGGCGGGGCAAGUCCAGCCCUCACCCUCGACACAGAUGGUGCCACCGUCUGUGCCGAAGAAGCGCAAGGUGCAUCUCCCGGAGAACGAGGUGCUCGCGCGCAGGAUGCUCGAGAAGCACAGCUCGUUAGCAUCAUGCUUGCCGGCGCCUAGCCGCCUACAGCGGUGUCUGCCUCGCCAAGCAUCCAUUCUAGACUCUCCGCGACUUAUCCCGUAUACUAGUACACAUUUGUCCACCUCUCAACUUUUCUCCUUCACGCUGCUGCGAUGAGUGUGUGUAAGGAGACUAUGUUUUGGUCGAUUCUGGGUCAUGUUCUCUGAUCGGGCGCAAAAUGUCGCACUUCUCUUCCGUAGUCAGACACAAAUCAGAGGUCUCUUCCGUAUUCAGCUCCUUAAGAAGAGACGUUGACAGUUGAUAUUUCGUCAGGGAAAUGCUGGUGCAACAACGCUGGGCUGUUCAGUUGAAGAGAUUAUGUGCCAGUUAUCUUGAGUUUUAUCUUAACGGAACCUUUUUGCCGACUCAUUUGACAUUUACUCUGUUCUUCUUAUGUUCCAGUUUAGAAGGAUUUCAUUUUUUCAUCUAAUGAAUCAAGAUAAUCAUGUACACAAUCACAAAUGUAGGAAUCUUUGGUGAGAUUCCAUUGCAGCGCGCUCCACGCCACUGCAAUUGAAAUCUGCAUUUUGCUCAUCCCGUUCAUGGCCUCGUAGAACAUGGAGAUACCGGCGGCGGGAAUGAGCUUGACGCAGCAGGGACCGAGCCACCGAGGCCAUGGUGCAUCCAAUACCGGUGCCAUUUUUACUGAGAAUGCAGUACACGGCGCGCAUGAUGAUCUUGUACACAUGUCGACGAGGGCGCCCGUGAAGGUGAGCGCCUCGGCUGUCGAUGAAGGGCCGCCACCCACCACGGCCACACGCAUCAGGCGCGCCGGGCGGAGGAGGAUCAAGAGAUGGAGAGGCAAACUGGAGAGCGGCAACUAGUGGGCGGCGCAUGAGAAGAGGCUCGGGGAGAGGAGGAGGACGACGCGCCGUCUUCUCGCCCGCGUGCAAGAGUACGCCAUGGUUCAUGUCCUGCCGAUGUACAUGCCGCCAUGCUUUGAGUCAACAUGCUCUAAGGUGACUCCAUGUCUGCCCGGCUCGUCCUCCGCCGCGGCCGCAUCCUCCGGCGGAGCCGCCACCGCCGCCGCCCCCGAAUCCGGCGCCGCCGCAUCCGCCGCCAGUGCCGCUGCGCAGAGAAGACUGGGACAUGGUGCUUCUCUGAUGCAGAGUGGAUGAGAUGGUGGUGGACAAGAGGGGAAUCGGGAGGAGAGGUGCUGGUCGCAGCCGGCCGCUGUCGGGUGAGAGAGGAAAAGCAGUUUGAUGUUGUCAUGAAAACUAUCCCUUUUGUAAUAGGCAGGGGUCUUAUGUCUUGCCCUUU